This 584-nucleotide long non-coding RNA is filed under the name Brassica napus (rape). Its description in RNAcentral is "long non-coding RNA (BNAP_LNC005810)". Lineage: Eukaryota; Viridiplantae; Streptophyta; Magnoliopsida; Brassicales; Brassicaceae. The record is from RNAcentral.
UCUUUUGGAGCUUUGGUCCCUUCUAUCAGAGCUUUGUGUUUCUUCACUUGCAUGUGCGCCUUGUCUGUUCUUAUUUAGUUUGUGAGGUGUUUCUUACCUUUUUGCUAGUAGUUGUGCUUCUGGUACUUUAGACAUAUAUCUUUCCGCUUCUUGGUGACGUUGGCCUUCCGAUUAUUACUCCCUCUCUGAUCCGCUUUUUUGGUUCUUUACGUUGGUGCUUGAUCACGCUUAUAUUUGUUCGGGAGAUUGCUUUGUUUCAGAUUUUAUCUUUUUAUCUUUUUUUAAUUUUUACUUGUUCUGGCCAAGACACUUCAAUGAGGUAAGUUAGUCUUCGUGUUUGAUCUCCUUUCAGCUUUAGACCUCUAUUGAAUUAGUGUUACUAUGAAAUUUUGUUUUCCGAGUGAUAAUGGAGGUUUUAUAUUUAAAUUUUGUGUUGUAUUCUAGUUUCUUAUUUUUAGUUUGGUUAUUUUAUAACUUUAAUAGUAAAAUAAAUAUAUAAUUUAUAAAAGAAAUAAUAGAAAAUAGUAAAAAUAAUAAAAUGAUGAAAGUUUAUGCUAUUUUUAGUUAGGAAUAAAGUAAAUAUU